RNAcentral lists this ribosomal RNA (277 nucleotides) under uncultured rumen bacterium. RNAcentral's name for it is "partial 16S ribosomal RNA". It matches the Rfam family "Bacterial small subunit ribosomal RNA", at positions 511 to 788 of the family's 1533-position model. The record is from RNAcentral.
GCAGCCGCGGUAAUACGUAGGUGGCGAGCGUUAUCCGGAUUUAUUGGGCGUAAAGCGUCCGCAGACGGUUUGUUAAGUCUAGAAUCAAAGCCCGGAGCUUAACUUCGGUUCGUUUUAGAAACUGGCAGACUUGAGUAUGGUAGAGGCAAGUGGAAUUUCUAGUGUAGCGGUAGAAUGCGUAGAUAUUAGAAGGAACACCAGUGGCGAAGGCGACUUGCUGGGCCAUUACUGACGUUCAUGGACGAAAGCGUGGGGAGCAAAUAGGAUUAGAUACCCC